GUGGCUGUAGUUUGGUGAUAAGGAUCCCACGUUGUGGCCGUGGAGAACUUGGGCUCGAAUCCCAGCAGCCACA
This 73-nucleotide transfer RNA is filed under the name Salix viminalis (osier). It matches the Rfam family "tRNA". From Rfam's summary of the family: Transfer RNA (tRNA) molecules are approximately 80 nucleotides in length. Their secondary structure includes four short double-helical elements and three loops (D, anti-codon, and T loops). Lineage: Eukaryota; Viridiplantae; Streptophyta; Magnoliopsida; Malpighiales; Salicaceae. The record is from RNAcentral.